Molecule: ribosomal RNA, 253 nt
Filed under: uncultured bacterium
Lineage: Bacteria
Description: partial 16S ribosomal RNA
Rfam family: Bacterial small subunit ribosomal RNA
Source: RNAcentral
UACGGAGGGUGCAAGCGUUAAUCGGAAUUACUGGGCGUAAAGCGUGCGCAGGCGGUUUGUUAAGUCCGUUGUGAAAGCCCCGAGCUCAACUUGGGAAUUGCAGUGGAUACUGGCAGGCUGGAGUACGGUAGAGGAAGGUGGAAUUCCCGGUGUAGCAGUGAAAUGCGUAGAUAUCGGGAGGAACACCAGUGGCGAAGGCGGCGACCUGGGCAGAUACUGACGCUGAGGUGCGAAAGCGUGGGGAGCAAACAGG